GCCUGGUAGGCGGGGGAGUAACUAUUGGAAACGAUAGCUAAUACCGCAUAAGAGUAGAUGUUGCAUGACAUUUGCUUAAAAGGUGCAAUUGCAUCACUACCAGAUGGACCAGCGUUGUAUUAGCUAGUUGGUGAGGUAACGGCUCACCAAGGCAACGAUACAUAGCCGACCUGAGAGGGUGAUCGGCCACACUGGGACUGAGACACGGCCCAG
This 213-nucleotide ribosomal RNA is filed under the name uncultured Streptococcaceae bacterium. RNAcentral describes it as "partial 16S ribosomal RNA". It matches the Rfam family "Bacterial small subunit ribosomal RNA", at positions 128 to 334 of the family's 1533-position model. The record is from RNAcentral. Lineage: Bacteria; Bacillati; Bacillota; Bacilli; Lactobacillales; Streptococcaceae.